UGUUAAAAUUUUCAUCUAUUUUUAUUGUUAAAAACUGGCGUGGAUGACGAAAUAACCAGACAGUGCCACUUGUACUUCAUUAUGAUAUACAAAUAUCAGUUUUUAACAAUAGAAUCGAAUGAAACUUUUAACA
Gossypium hirsutum (cotton) is the source of this 133-nucleotide non-coding RNA. The record is from Rfam. NCBI's taxonomy places the organism in Eukaryota, Viridiplantae, Streptophyta, Magnoliopsida, Malvales, Malvaceae.